UAGCUAGCUCAGUUGGCAGAGCAUGAGACUCUUAAUCUCAGGGUUGUGGGUUCGAGUCCCGUGUUGGCAA
RNAcentral lists this transfer RNA (70 nucleotides) under Podarcis lilfordi (Lilford's wall lizard). Its description in RNAcentral is "tRNA.Lys". It matches the Rfam family "tRNA". From Rfam's summary of the family: Transfer RNA (tRNA) molecules are approximately 80 nucleotides in length. Their secondary structure includes four short double-helical elements and three loops (D, anti-codon, and T loops). Lineage: Eukaryota; Metazoa; Chordata; Lepidosauria; Squamata; Lacertidae. The record is from RNAcentral.